RNAcentral lists this transfer RNA (70 nucleotides) under Phalacrocorax auritus (double-crested cormorant). Its description in RNAcentral is "Nannopterum auritus (double-crested cormorant) tRNA-Gly". The record is from RNAcentral. Lineage: Eukaryota; Metazoa; Chordata; Aves; Suliformes; Phalacrocoracidae.
UGCUCUUCUAGUAUACUAAUUACAAUUGACUUCCAAUCUAUAGAAUCUGGCGCAAACCCAGAGAAGAGCA